GUUUUAAUAACGGCAAUAAUUGGUUUUAUAACGAAGUUAUGUUUCCUAACAGAUUCUACAUUCAUAUCGAAGUGUUACUAUAUAAUAUAUUAAAUAUAUUAUGUGUAUAAAAACUGAUCCUGUGCACUUCGUUGCCCGUUAAAAAUGCCAUCUCUACAUAAGAGACCCGAUUGUGAUAAUGCGAGCAGUAUAUUAUCAGGUAUUAGGUGGAUGCGAACGGAGCAGGAAAUUGCAAGCACUCGCGCCGGUGGCGUUUACGUAAAAAUAUAAUCAUACGUUUAGACACGGGAUUUAUAUGCAAAUAUGCAAUUAUAGGAAGGUACCUCUGUCCUCUAUGGUUAUAUGUACCUACUAAAUAUACCUUGUAUAUACCUACUAAUAAUUAAAAAGAAUAUGUUUUAAAAGUUAAAUCAUUUAAAAAUGCAUUGAAAUAUUAUCUUAAUGUGCAUGCAUGAAAACUGGAAUGUCUGUAGUCUUAUACUCUAUACCUACCAACACAAUCACUGGUCUUAAAUGUAAUUAAGAAAUUGAUUUUUUUAUCACUUUAAAGGUAGGUACUUACUGAAAAAUGAAAUGUUUACUACUACCGAUUAUAAUAUUAUGCUGUACAACCUUAAUGGUUAAAGCUACCAAA
Long non-coding RNA from Myzus persicae (green peach aphid), 634 nucleotides. RefSeq lists it as uncharacterized. The transcript is spliced from 3 exons. The record is from RefSeq and is a predicted model, not a curated record. Lineage: Eukaryota; Metazoa; Arthropoda; Insecta; Hemiptera; Aphididae.